GCAGCGGCGACCGGAGCGGUAGGAGCAGCAAUUUAUCCGUGUGCAGCCCCAAACUGGAAAGAAGAUGCUAAUUAAAGUGAAGGAAUGAUGAGAAGACAGCAGCUGAUUACAAGAUUUUAGGUGGUUCAGUCCUUCACCUGGUGUUGGCUCUGAGAGGAGGAGGUGGUCUUAGGCAGUGAUGGACCCUCCAUUUUACCUCUUUACCCUGUCGCUCAUAAUGAGGCAUCAUAUAUCCUCUCACUCUCUGGGACACCAUAGCCACUGCCCCCUCCCCUGGAUGCCCAGU
RNAcentral lists this long non-coding RNA (286 nucleotides) under Homo sapiens (human). RNAcentral describes it as "NEDD8 ubiquitin like modifier (ENSG00000285246.2)". Lineage: Eukaryota; Metazoa; Chordata; Mammalia; Primates; Hominidae. The record is from RNAcentral.